GCAGCUGGAGCUGGUGUGGAGGCUGAACAGGAGCUGAUCUUGGAUUUGGUGGAGUCUCUGUCACGAGCCUGCUCCGAUGGAUUACUUUGGGGGUAUGCCAUCAUCAUCUGAUUCCAUGUCAACAGGAGUGUGGACUGAAGAUGAGAAAAUGCUACUUCAAGUAUCAACAACAAUAAACAGUUGUUGGUAACACUAGCAAGUCCAGUCGCCCCCUCCAGUCAGCUACAGAGGUUGUCUAUGACCUGGAUGACUGAGAACCUUCGCAGACAUCCUUCUAGUAUCAACAUCC
Molecule: long non-coding RNA, 289 nt
Organism: Solea solea (common sole)
Lineage: Eukaryota; Metazoa; Chordata; Actinopteri; Pleuronectiformes; Soleidae
Exons: 3
Source: RefSeq, a predicted model, not a curated record